UUUACUAGUAGUCUCUUUUUGCAUAAAAAACAGGCGUCGAGUUCAAUAAUGUCUAGUUCUCAAGCCCAAGGAUCAUGGACUACAAAGCAAAACAAGGCAUUUGAGAAGGCAUUGGCUGUGUAUGACAAAGACACUCCUGACCGUUGGUCCAACGUUGCCAAAGCCGUUGGAGGAGGCAAAACUGCUGCAGAAGUGAAACGACAUUAUGAAAUACUUGUCCAUGAUAUCAUGUUUAUUGAGAAUGGUGGUGUCCCUUUCCCUAACUACACUGGAGGUGGCACUACUAAUAAUUAGCGUCAACUAAGGAUGCAAAAUCUAUGGCUCCAGCAAGUAAUGAGACAAAGAGAUGCAGCCUUAUCUACGAUUACACAGCAUUUGCUUGCAAGAAAAUAACCAUAGCUAGUACCAGCUACAGGAAAAAAAAUCCAGAGCAUUUUCUAUUUAAAAAUCUAAGUGUAUAUUAAUUUCGUUUAUUCAAGUUAAUAAGUAGUAGUAUUUCUGCUGCUGUUAUGAAUUUCAUGCAUGUAUUAUCUGAAGGAAGCAUUUGAAUUCCUUCCACACUAUUUUGUAAUAUCCAUUUUCUCAUUCAAAAUAUGACAAAAGUGUAUUUAUUAA
This is a non-coding RNA of Nicotiana tabacum (common tobacco), 615 nucleotides long. The record is from RefSeq and is a predicted model, not a curated record. Lineage: Eukaryota; Viridiplantae; Streptophyta; Magnoliopsida; Solanales; Solanaceae.